CCAACGUGGACAUCCUGUGAGAUGGCUCUGUCCAUGUGGCGUAAGGGAGCGUAGCACGAAAGUGCCAUGACGUACAGUCCCAUUCCGCAACGUUGAAGAACAAGCUUGUCCCCAGCCUCUGGCUGGUGUGGACGGUGUCCUGUAUAUUCCUACAUCUUUCCAGAGCUCUUUGGGCCGUGUCUGGGGAGGUAAACCAUGCAGUGCACAACC
Xyrauchen texanus (razorback sucker) is the source of this 210-nucleotide small nucleolar RNA. RefSeq annotates it as small nucleolar RNA SNORA73 family. The transcript has a single exon. Lineage: Eukaryota; Metazoa; Chordata; Actinopteri; Cypriniformes; Catostomidae. The record is from RefSeq and is a predicted model, not a curated record.